This is a long non-coding RNA of Mugil cephalus (flathead mullet), 2190 nucleotides long. RefSeq lists it as uncharacterized. The record is from RefSeq and is a predicted model, not a curated record. The transcript is spliced from 3 exons. Lineage: Eukaryota; Metazoa; Chordata; Actinopteri; Mugiliformes; Mugilidae.
CGGAGAGCGGUAGCGGGGGAGCGACAGUCUGUAUCUUCCCCUCCAAUCACGUCGCUCCGUCUCCAUCUUUCUCCAUCUUUGCUUCGGCCAAUCGCCGUAGCCAUUGUCCAAAAUUGCCCGGGCGGACCAAUCGCCGCCCGCCGUCUCCAUCUUUGCUCUCGGCCAAUCCCCGCGGCCAUUGUCCAAAAUUGCGAGCCGGACCAAUCGCGGUCCGCCAUUUCCAUCUUUCCGACGGCCAAUCACGACGGCGCAUCUCCAAAAUUCAACCGUCCGGCCUUCACGCAGCCGCAGAAGACCUCUACUGUCAUUUCAAAUUUACCGCCUCGAAUGAUUGGAAAGACGUACAACCUUCAGCUGCCUGUAACUACAAAAGGUAAAUAUGUGGCUAAUAUCAUUGUAUUCCGUCAGCUGUCUAGCUUGCUCGGUGUUAACUUUUCAUUCAUCGCAAAACGUAAACACGCUCCUUUUUAAUGUUGUAUUAAAUAAACUAGCGGGUAGCUAGGCAGAUAUUAAUAAUAUAUUAAAGAGAGAAAUAACUAUUAAAAAAAACGACUUUGACGUCGCAUCGCAUGUGUAGUUCAAACGUGACCGUUGUGCUCCGACAGCAACGUACGUUACUGUAACUCCCGGUAACGUACAGUAACGCUCCAUCACUGUAACGUACUGCUUAUCAGUAUGCCAGUAUGACGUCAGAGUAUGAGAGUAUGUUCUUAUGUACUUUUAGCAUAACAUUAUGAAUGAAAUCUGUAUAGUUUUCACUUCUGUUGUCACAAAAGUCUUGAAUAUGCAGUGUUACCAGUUAAUAAUAAGCUACAGUAACGUUAGGCAGUAAAUCUGUCUGCUGGUAACAUUCACUUCUGUUGUAACCACUGUCUUCAACAUGCCUAGCUGCUACUGGUAGGCUACUAGUUGAUAAUAAGCUAGUAUUCACUUCUGUUGUCAUAAAUAUAUAAUAUGUAGGCUACUGCUGUUAGUUUAUAAUUAGCUGUUUGUUUGUGUGACUGUAUGCAAGUAAGAACCUACGAUGUGCACAAAUAUCUGUGUAUUAGUAAGUUACAAAAGUGUGCACAUUGGUCAUAUUUGUGUCAUGAGCAAAUAUUAGCUGUAUUGGUAUAAAUAUCAUUUUCCUGUUAAUAACAGAUGGGUCCAAACAAAAAAAACAGGGCCGUGGGAGAGGAGGAGGAGAUCAGGCGUUUGGCCUCUGAGGCAGGAAACAGACCAGCACCUCGGCAGAAGAAGUGGCAUGAUCUAUAUCUGAAGCCUUCCAGUUCGCUCCUUGUCUCAGUGCAUCCAGGAACCUCAUGUACAGUGGAACAGCAGCCAGGGCCUUCACCUGGUGAGACGCUACAGCCAGGACUCUACCUGCAGAUUCACCACCACCACCACCACCAAAGGAUGUCUCCUUAGCUAGUGGUGAACCUUGGCAUCAACCUCUGAUGUAUCCAGCCCCAUCACAAGCCCCACAAAAAGAAAAGUGUCACCACCUGGACGCACACUGUUUCUCCUGUGUCUCUUCCUCCUUCUCCUGUUCCUGUAUCAAGCCUCUUCCAUUCUGCCUCCACUGCUACAGCUGUAAGAACAUAUUCUACUACACUUGAAACAGGAGCUGCUCUUGAGUAGAUUGUUAUCAUAUCUAUGUAUUAAACUUAUUAUUUUAAGUAUUUUAUUUUCUUUAUAUUAAGUGUUAUCUGCCACCUCCUCCUGUGUCUCCCCAGGAACCCCCUCUGCUCCUCUCACCUUGCCAUUGCCUAAAAAUGUGGGGAUCGUACCUGUUUCAGAUGCUGCCUGGCUGCCCACAAAGCUGCUAAAGACAUUUCAGCAGCCCUGUGGAAAGACCAGCGUCUUUUCAAAGACCUGAAACUGUGGUAUGAUCCACCAGAGUCCUCCCUCAUAUACCAUUAGGUCCUCACUCCUGAGCGCUUCUUCCACCACUGACUUCUCUUAUGGAAAAAACAUGGUGUGACAUUCUUUGUCAAUAUGUAUAUAAUGUAAAUAGUUUUAAAAGAAAAAAGUCUUAAUUUGCUGCUGUUCUAUUUUGUUUUUUAACUUUAACACACGUGUUUGUGAGUGUGUGUGUGAAAUUUGUAAUAAAUUUGUUACAUUUCAGUGACUGUCUUCAUUUUUUACUGCAAAAAUGCAAACUCACUCAUAGAAAACGAUAACAUUGUUGCAGUACUUCAUUCAGAAAUA